UACGUAGGGGGGCAAGCGUUGUCCGGAAUCAUUGGGCGUAAAGCGCGUGUAGGCGGCUCGAUAAGUCUGCUGUGAAAGUCCAGGGCUCAACCCUGGGAUGCCGGUGGAUACUGUCGAGCUCGAGUCCGGAAGAGGCGAGUGGAAUUCCUGGUGUAGCGGUGAAAUGCGCAGAUAAUCAGGAGGAACACCAAUGGCGAAGGCAGCUCGCUGGGACGGUAGCUGACGCUGGAGACGCGAAAGCGUGGGGAGCAAACAGG
This 257-nucleotide ribosomal RNA is filed under the name uncultured bacterium. RNAcentral's name for it is "partial 16S ribosomal RNA". It matches the Rfam family "Bacterial small subunit ribosomal RNA", at positions 524 to 776 of the family's 1533-position model. The record is from RNAcentral.